RNAcentral lists this long non-coding RNA (265 nucleotides) under Homo sapiens (human). RNAcentral describes it as "LHRI_LNC131.1". Lineage: Eukaryota; Metazoa; Chordata; Mammalia; Primates; Hominidae. The record is from RNAcentral.
AAUAGACUUAUAGAACUGUAACGAGGAAUGGAUGAGUUAAUAUUUCUAAAGCAUUUGGAAUAGUGCUUGACACAUAGUAAGUGCUAUAUGAGUGCUUCUUAAAUAAGCAAAAUAAAAGUAUGUACCCAGAGGAAAAUUACUUGGCAAACAUACUUAGAAUGUAGCAAGAAACCAGGAUUUUAUUAGCAUAAGCUUCAGAACAACUCAAGUGUUGCUAAAUUUACAUUACAUUACAUAUUAAUGUAAUAACUAUUUUAAUGUAAUA